CAAUACUGUAAGUGGGUGCAUCACCUGAGAGUGAGUUUGUUGACCACUAAAAUGUUAGUAGUAUUUAAAGGUGUUUCCCAGAAUUAUUGUUCCAUCUAACUUUGUUGAAUAAUAAUAUUGACUUAUUAAAAUAUGAAUGUGAUUUUUUUCUCAGGUGGGUUAGCUUUAAGAGAAGAGUUGUCAAUGACAAGUCGGUUCCGAUAUUGGUGCGAUUUACUGCGGCAACCUUAAAGCUCCGAGCGGUAGAUGAACAGAAAAAGGAAACCAAGCAGCUGAAAGACCUGUUUCAGCACAUGAUAGAAGUGGUUGACAAAGCUCAUGAAGGAGUGAAGAAAAGGACACUGCUGUAGGCUGACAAGAAGCAUUUUUAUGCACUGUGGCUUUUAGACACAAAUAUGUUACACUUGUUUUUAUGACAAAUGUGACCCUUGUGAAUUGUAAGCCAUACAAUCAGUUCUUUAUUUACUUUACUAAAUGCAAUGCUAACAGUGGGAUUCUUCUUUUUGUGACCUUUCUAAAAAUGAGGAAUCCAGAUGCUUUUUUAAUGCAGUUGAUAAUCAUUUAAAUAAUAACAUACAAGACAUUAUUUCCAUAUCUACUGUAUGUAUACUGUGGGCAGCACGGUACGUUUAUUAUAGGCUUUGUAGAACAAGUUUCAGAUUUGCUGCAAUUGCCCACCAUCUUUACAUUUUUAAAGAAUGAGAUUAGCAUAAUAGAGAAAAGGGUGGCUUCUACCAAAAUCGAUUUUUGUCAAAACAUAAUCAUGUUAGUAGCAGCCUUAAUGGCCUAGCAGUGUUAAACAGUGUGUCAGUUCCUAGAUGUUGUGCAGGGGUGGUUGUUACCAAGUGGUGGGGAAAGCUUUAUGGUUAAUGUUACCAGCCAGUAGUAUAACUUUGCCAUCUAGUAGGUUUUCGUAUUUUACUCUUUGCACAUUUUCACAGAUAGUUUAGUAACAGUAUUACAGACAAGAAUAAACAUUUUUGCAAAGAGUAAAUGCCUUGUUUUACAUUAAUGUCAGUAAUUUACAGAAAUACAAAUUAAGUAAUUUGCCAUAGGUACAGAGCAGCAAGUUUGAUGUUUAUAAAUGUGAAAUUAAUUGGACCACAUACUUAAUUUUUCACAGUGUUUAAUGGUAUUUGUUUAAACUGUGAGAAUUAUGUGUUAAUCAGGAAAGGCAUAUGCACAUUUACAUGGUUCAUAUAUAAAAAAUAUAUCUCAUAGUUGAAACUCAUGAUAGGCAGAUUUCAUUAUAGCAAAGUGAAAUUCUUAUAUGUAAAUACUGAUACAGUAAGUAAUCUUUUUCUGUUUUGUGCAUAUAUGACUUGAUUUUUAAAAUAAACCAUAAAUUAAUUUAAAAA
Molecule: non-coding RNA, 1358 nt
Organism: Lepisosteus oculatus (spotted gar)
Lineage: Eukaryota; Metazoa; Chordata; Actinopteri; Semionotiformes; Lepisosteidae
Source: RefSeq, a predicted model, not a curated record